UCGCGAGAAGUUACACUGAGCCUUAUCAUUGAGAGGAAGGAGAAGUCGUAACAAGGUUUCCGUAGGUGAACCUGCGGAAGGAUCAUUGAUGCUCGCUCGAA
This 101-nucleotide ribosomal RNA is filed under the name Comanthera nitida. RNAcentral's name for it is "partial 18S ribosomal RNA". The stretch from base 1 to 88 matches the Rfam family "Eukaryotic small subunit ribosomal RNA", at positions 1744 to 1831 of the family's 1831-position model. Lineage: Eukaryota; Viridiplantae; Streptophyta; Magnoliopsida; Poales; Eriocaulaceae. The record is from RNAcentral.